Molecule: ribosomal RNA, 253 nt
Filed under: uncultured bacterium
Lineage: Bacteria
Description: partial 16S ribosomal RNA
Rfam family: Bacterial small subunit ribosomal RNA
Source: RNAcentral
UACGGGGGGGGCAAGCGUUGUUCGGAAUUACUGGGCGUAAAGGGCUCGUAGGUGGCCAACUAAGUCAGACGUGAAAUCCCUCGGCUUAACCGGGGAACUGCGUCUGAUACUGGAUGGCUUGAGUUUGGGAGAGGGAUGCGGAAUUCCAGGUGUAGCGGUGAAAUGCGUAGAUAUCGGGAAGAACACCAGUGGCGAAAGCGCUCUACUGGGCCAUGACUGACACUGAGGGACGAAAGCUAGGGGAGCGAAAGGG